UACAGAGGUCCCAAGCGUUGUUCGGAUUCACUGGGCGUAAAGGGUGCGUAGGUGGUGGGGUAAGUCUGAUGUGAAAUCUCCGAGCUCAACUCGGAAAUGGCAUUGGAUACUAUUCUGCUAGAGGAUUGGAGGGGAGACUGGAAUUCUUGGUGUAGCAGUGAAAUGCGUAGAUAUCAAGAGGAACACCAGUGGCGAAAGCGAGUCUCUUGACAAUUCCUGACACUGAGGCACGAAAGCUAGGGGAGCAAACAGG
Molecule: ribosomal RNA, 253 nt
Filed under: uncultured bacterium
Lineage: Bacteria
Description: partial 16S ribosomal RNA
Rfam family: Bacterial small subunit ribosomal RNA
Source: RNAcentral